This 375-nucleotide ribosomal RNA is filed under the name uncultured organism. RNAcentral's name for it is "partial 16S ribosomal RNA". It matches the Rfam family "Bacterial small subunit ribosomal RNA", at positions 524 to 896 of the family's 1533-position model. The record is from RNAcentral.
GGGAGGGGGGGCUAGCGUUGUUCAGAAUUACUGGGCGUAAAGGGCGCGUAGGCGGCCUGUCAAGUCAGGGGGUGAAAGGGCCCGGGCUCAACCCGGGAACUGCCCUUGAAACUGGCAAGCUAGAGUCCGAGAGAGGAUGGCGGAAUUCCCAGUGUAGAGGUGAAAUUCGUAGAUAUUGGGAAGAACACCGGUGGCGAAGGCGGCCAUCUGGCUCGGCACUGACGCUGAGGCGCGAAAGCGUGGGGAGCAAACAGGAUUAGAUACCCUGGUAGUCCACGCCGUAAACGAUGUGUGCUAGACGUUGGGGGUCUUAGGCCUUCGGUGUCGCAGCUAACGCGUUAAGCACACCGCCUGGGGAGUACGGCCGCAAGGUUA